RNAcentral lists this ribosomal RNA (500 nucleotides) under uncultured bacterium. Its description in RNAcentral is "partial 16S ribosomal RNA". It matches the Rfam family "Bacterial small subunit ribosomal RNA", at positions 30 to 523 of the family's 1533-position model. The record is from RNAcentral.
AUUGAACGCUGGCGGCAUGCUUUACACAUGCAAGUCGAACGGCAGCACGGGAGCAAUCCUGGUGGCGAGUGGCGAACGGGUGAGUAAAGUAUCGGAACGUGCCCAGUCGUGGGGGAUAACGUAGCGAAAGUUACACUAAUACCGCAUACGAUCCAUGGAUGAAAGCGGGGGAUCGCAAGACCUCGCGCGAUUGGAGCGGCCGAUAUCAGAUUAGGUAGUUGGUGGGGUAAAGGCUCACCAAGCCGACGAUCUGUAGCUGGUCUGAGAGGACGACCAGCCACACUGGGACUGAGACACGGCCCAGACUCCUACGGGAGGCAGCAGUGGGGAAUUUUGGACAAUGGGCGCAAGCCUGAUCCAGCCAUGCCGCGUGCAGGAUGAAGGCCUUCGGGUUGUAAACUGCUUUUGUACGGAACGAAAAGGUUUGACUUAAUACGUUGGACUCAUGACGGUACCGUAAGAAUAAGCACCGGCUAACUACGUGCCAGCCGCCGCCGUAA